GGGUGCGAUCAUACUAGCACUAAUACACCGGAUCCCUUCAGAACUUCGCAGUGAUGCGCGUUUGGACGAGAGUAGUACCAGGAUGGGUGACCUCCCGGGAAGUCCUCGUGUUACACCCC
Molecule: ribosomal RNA, 119 nt
Filed under: Brassica oleracea var. oleracea
Lineage: Eukaryota; Viridiplantae; Streptophyta; Magnoliopsida; Brassicales; Brassicaceae
Source: RNAcentral